RNAcentral lists this ribosomal RNA (469 nucleotides) under uncultured Verrucomicrobiota bacterium. RNAcentral describes it as "bacterial SSU rRNA". It matches the Rfam family "Bacterial small subunit ribosomal RNA", at positions 13 to 468 of the family's 1533-position model. The record is from RNAcentral. Lineage: Bacteria; Pseudomonadati; Verrucomicrobiota.
UUGAUCCUGGCUCAGAGCGAACGCUGGCGGCGUGGAUAAGACAUGCAAGUCCAACGAGACUAUUUCUAGUAGCAAUACCGGGAAUAGUUUAGUGGCGAACGGGUGCGUAACACGUGGGCAAUCUGCCGAAAAGUGGGGGAUAGCUCGCCGAAAGGCGAAUUAAUACCGCAUGUGGUGAGAAAAGACAUCUUUUUGAAUCCAAAGCCGGGGCAACCUGGCGCUUUUUGAGGAGCCCGCGGCCUAUCAGCUAGUUGGUGAGGUAACGGCUCACCAAGGCUAUGACGGGUAGCUGGUCUGAGAGGACGACCAGCCACACUGGAACUGAGACACGGUCCAGACACCUACGGGUGGCAGCAGUCGAGAAUUUUUCUCAAUGGGGGAAACCCUGAAGGAGCGACGCCGCGUGGAGGAUGAAUGCUUUCGGGUUGUAAACUCCUGUCAUUUGGGAACAAGGCUUACGUUAACUGCG